Molecule: ribosomal RNA, 253 nt
Filed under: uncultured bacterium
Lineage: Bacteria
Description: partial 16S ribosomal RNA
Rfam family: Bacterial small subunit ribosomal RNA
Source: RNAcentral
UACGUAGGGUCCAAGCGUUAAUCGGAAUUACUGGGCGUAAAGCGUGCGCAGGCGGCUUCGCAAGUCAGACGUGAAAUCCCCGGGCUUAACCUGGGAAUGGCGUUUGAAACUACGGAGCUGGAGUGUGGCAGAGGGAGGUAGAAUUCCACGUGUAGCGGUGAAAUGCGUAGAUAUGUGGAGGAAUACCGAUGGCGAAGGCAGCCUCCUGGGCCGACCCUGACGCUGAGGCGCGAAGGCGUGGGGAGCGAACGGG